GCGGGAAAAUCUGUAAUGUUUGGAGAAGACAAGAUGGCGCUGGUUACCUCGUGUUAUAUCAAAGGGCAUUUUUGUUCACAAAUACCCGCUUAUUUUACGUUAUAGCGACUGGUUCGUUUUGGAAAUUAUUACUCAAUGGACGGGGAAAAUGAUUCUGUAUUAAAGAGAAAAAGAUGUGCAGUUAUUGUGAUGUUAUUUGUUGUGAAAGACGGCCCGAAAUUUCGCUACUUCGCUGUACUGGUUUAUAAAACAUUUACAAGCAACAGCAAUUGAACUAUAUGACAAAGAAACCAAUGUAUACAAGCCAAUCAAGUUCUUCAGUUUAAAGGUCAGUUUAUUUUUAAUAAUUAGUUCAUGUAGUUAUAUAUUAAUACGAAGUACAGGGCCAUUCCAUUUAAUAUCCACACCCUCCUGUUGACUAGAUUUUCCGAAGGGGGUUUUGAAUUU
Paramuricea clavata is the source of this 447-nucleotide non-coding RNA. The record is from the annotation of a GenBank genome assembly. Lineage: Eukaryota; Metazoa; Cnidaria; Anthozoa; Malacalcyonacea; Plexauridae.